GACGAACGCUGGCGGCGUGCUUAACACAUGCAAGUCGAACGGAAAGGCCCUGCUUUUGUGGGGCGCUCGAGUGGCGAACGGGUGAGUAACACGUGAGUAACCUGCCCUUGACUUUGGGAUAACUUCAGGAAACUGGGGCUAAUACCGGAUAGGAGCUCCUGCUGCAUGGUGGGGGUUGGAAAGUUUCGGCGGUUGGGGAUGGACUCGCGGCUUAUCAGCUUGUUGGUGGGGUAGUGGCUUACCAAGGCUUUGACGGGUAGCCGGCCUGCGAGGGUGACCGGCCACAUUGGGACUGAGAUACGGCCCAGACUCCUACGGGAGGCAGCAGUGGGGAAUAUUGCACAAUGGGCGGAAGCCUGAUGCAGCAACGCCGCGUGCGGGAUGACGGCCUUCGGGUUGUAAACCGCUUUCGCCUGUGACGAAGCGUGAGUGACGGUAAUGGGUAAAGAAGCACCGGCUAACUACGUG
RNAcentral lists this ribosomal RNA (468 nucleotides) under uncultured bacterium. RNAcentral describes it as "partial 16S ribosomal RNA". It matches the Rfam family "Bacterial small subunit ribosomal RNA", at positions 28 to 507 of the family's 1533-position model. The record is from RNAcentral.